CAUGCAAGUCGAACGCGAAAGCUCCCUUCGGGGAGCAAGUAGAGUGGCGCACGGGUGAGUAACACGUAGGUAAUCUACCUUUGGAUGGGGAAUAACAACCGGAAACGGUUGCUAAUACCGCAUAAUGCAGCGGCACCUAAUGGUGACAGUUGUUAAAGCGGGGGAUCGAAAGACCUCGCGUCUGAAGAGGAGCCUGCGGCAGAUUAGCUAGUUGGUAAGGUAACGGCUUACCAAGGCGAUGAUCUGUAGCCGGCCUGAGAGGGCGGUCGGCCACACUGACACUGACAUACGGGUCAGACUCCUACGGGAGGCAGCAGUCGGGAAUUUUGGGCAAUGGGCGAAAGCCUGACCCAGCAACGCCGCGUGAAGGAUGAAAUCCUUCGGGAUGUAAACUUCGCAAGAACGGGAAGAAUAAGUAAGGGUUAAUAUCCCUUACGAUGACGGUACCGUUCGUAAGCUCCGGCUAACUCCGUGCCAGCAGCCGCGGUAAUACGGGGGGAGCAAGCGUUGUUCGGAUUUACUGGGCGUAAAGGGCGCGUAGGCGGCCACUGCAAGUCGACUGUGAAAUCUCCGGGCUUAACCCGGAAAGGUCAGCCGAUACUGCAGGGCUAGAGUGCAGAAAGGGGCAACUGGAAUUCUCGGUGUAGCGGUGAAAUGCGUAGAUAUCGAGAGGAACACCUGCGGCGAAGGCGGGUUGCUGGGCUGACACUGACGCUGA
This 718-nucleotide ribosomal RNA is filed under the name uncultured bacterium. RNAcentral's name for it is "bacterial SSU rRNA". It matches the Rfam family "Bacterial small subunit ribosomal RNA", at positions 54 to 749 of the family's 1533-position model. The record is from RNAcentral.